UACGGAGGGUGCGAGCGUUGUCCGGAAUCAUUGGGCGUAAAGGGCGCGUAGGUGGCCCGGUCAGUUCGUGGUGAAAGCGCGGGGCUCAACCCUGCGUCGGCCAUGAAUACUGCCGCGGCUGGAGCACUGUAGAGGCAGGCGGAAUUCCGGGUGUAGCGGUGGAAUGCGUAGAGAUCCGGAAGAACACCAAUGGCGAAGGCAGCUCGCUGGGACGGUACUGACGCUGAGACGCGAAAGCGUGGGGAGCAAACAGG
RNAcentral lists this ribosomal RNA (254 nucleotides) under uncultured bacterium. RNAcentral's name for it is "partial 16S ribosomal RNA". It matches the Rfam family "Bacterial small subunit ribosomal RNA", at positions 524 to 776 of the family's 1533-position model. The record is from RNAcentral.